Unclassified non-coding RNA from Fukomys damarensis (Damara mole-rat), 311 nucleotides. Its record names the gene 7SK. It matches the Rfam family "7SK RNA". From Rfam's summary of the family: 7SK was discovered as an abundant small nuclear RNA in the mid-70s but a possible function has only recently been suggested. Two independent studies have found that 7SK RNA binds the CDK9/cyclin T complex (known as elongation factor P-TEFb). P-TEFb activates transcription by phosphorylating the C-terminal domain of RNA polymerase II. Lineage: Eukaryota; Metazoa; Chordata; Mammalia; Rodentia; Bathyergidae. The record is from Ensembl.
GGAUGUGAGGGUGAUCUGGCUGGGACAUCUGUGGUCCCACUGAUCAUGAGGGUUGAUUUCACUGAUCUGGCUGGCCAAGUGAAUGUCCCAUUCUUCAUCUUCCAUAUGUGUCCCUUCCAAAGCUUCGAUGUGUGUGCUUGGUCAAAGAAGACAACCACUUCUGAUAGAGGAGGACCUUUUUCUGGGUCAAGGGCAUAGGAGUAGCUGCACUCCCUCCCCUGCUAGAACCUCCAAACAUGUGUUACGUCAAAGGCUGGUCCACCUCAGUGUCUCAGAACUAAGUUUCCUGCAUCCGUUGCCUGAGGAACUUU